GCAGAGCCAUGGCCCUCUUCUUUGUUCUCUGCUGGAUCCAAGAGUCGGGGGUCUCCCUAUGUUUCCCAGGCUGGCCUCGAACUCCUGACCUCAAGUGAUCCUCCCACCUCAGCCUCCCCGAGUGCUGGGAUUAAAGACGUGAGCCACGGCACCUGGCCUGAAUUUUCCUCAAAUUCAAAAAAUCCUGAUGAAGGUUUGGCUAAAAUCUUUGAUGAAAUUGUGCUCCAAGUGUUUUCCAAGGUUCCGUAUGACCCAUCAUUUGAUGAAACAAGAACAGCAGUCAGAUCCAUUACAAAGAGAGACACACAAAAAAGCAAGCUAUUCCCAACAGAAGAGCUUGAACAAUGCUGCAUUUGCAUCAGGUUCAAAUGAGCGAGAGGAACAUUUGGCUAAAAUAUUUGGAACCAGCAUUGCUUGGAAUUCUCCUAAACCAGAAUAUUUCCUUGGCAGUGUGGACAAAAUUCCUGAUAAAGAUCACCUUUCAGAGGAGAAGAAUUUUAAAGAAUCCUGUCUGUUCGACAGGGAUUUAAGAGAGCAGUUAACUACUAUAGAUAAAGAAACACUUCAAGGAGCAGCUAAACCAGAUCUCCUCUGGCAAACACGACAUAUAAUAUUUUUAUAAUGGAUGGAAAGACAUGGUGGCACAAUUCUGAAGAAAAAAAUUUCACAAAACUUGCAAAAAAACAGAAACAGUUGAAGA
This 700-nucleotide long non-coding RNA is filed under the name Homo sapiens (human). Its description in RNAcentral is "long non-coding RNA NONHSAT182223.1". Lineage: Eukaryota; Metazoa; Chordata; Mammalia; Primates; Hominidae. The record is from RNAcentral.